AGCUUCCGGAGCAGCUGGGACUGCUGGCGCCCGCCACUACGCUCGGCUAAUUUUUUUGUGUUUUUAGUAGAGACGGGCUUUCACCGUGUUGGCCUAGCGGUUCUCCAACUCCUGACCUCAUGAUCCCCCCGCCUCAGCCUCCCAAAGUGCUGGGAUUACAAGCGUGAGCCACCGCGACCCGCCAACACUCUUGACAACAGUGCUGUGCUAAGAACUUGGGGGACUUCAAAAAGUUCACCAGUUCCUGUGUCCAUGGGUGAAAAGAUUUUCUACAUCUUUCCUUGACUAGAAACAGAAGUCCUGAAACAAGAAUAUAACGUCAGGAGGCCAGAGGCUUUGUCCUGCCUAAUGUGUUAUUUCCACACUGAAUAAAAGCACCUGAGUCCUGGUAAGUCUAAUUUGCUAGGUGUGGCAAUAUGACCAGUGAAAAACAACAAGGGCAGCAUUUCCUGCAGUUCGGUGGCACAGUAUGGUUCAAAGAGGUAUAAAAGGAAGUCACAGGCAUUUUAAAAAGGUUGUACAUCUAGCAAUACCUAACAAAAUAGGAAAUCAACUUGUGUCAUUGCAAGAGCAGUUUAGACAAGGCUACAAAUCUACAAGAUGACAUCAGUUAAUACAGUGAAGACAGCUGGAAAUGCAGAGCAUUCAUACAGGAGGCAAUGUAUUGUAAUGGAGAUUUCCGUUUCAUUUCUCAGCAGAGAGCAGCCACUGUCUUUUGUGUUUGGAUAGACAUAUGGAUAUAAGAAAAAUUAUAGAAUAGGAUAGAAGACAUAGUAAUCUAAUGAGUGUUCUGACUGAAUGUUCUAACCUAUGAAAUUAUCAGUCCAAAACUACAUGUUCAGAACUUACGUGCAACAUUAUCUUGCGUUAUAUUAGUAAGUACAUUAAAGGAAAUAGUGGGAAGAAUAAAAUU
RNAcentral lists this long non-coding RNA (913 nucleotides) under Homo sapiens (human). RNAcentral's name for it is "HSALNT0376101". The record is from RNAcentral. Lineage: Eukaryota; Metazoa; Chordata; Mammalia; Primates; Hominidae.